Molecule: ribosomal RNA, 493 nt
Filed under: Staphylococcus aureus
Lineage: Bacteria; Bacillati; Bacillota; Bacilli; Caryophanales; Staphylococcaceae
Description: partial 23S ribosomal RNA
Rfam family: Bacterial large subunit ribosomal RNA
Source: RNAcentral
AUAUGUUAAGUGGAAAAGGAUGUGGCGUUGCCCAGACAACUAGGAUGUUGGCUUAGAAGCAGCCAUCAUUUAAAGAGUGCGUAAUAGCUCACUAGUCGAGUGACACUGCGCCGAAAAUGUACCGGGGCUAAACAUAUUACCGAAGCUGUGGAUUGUCCUUUGGACAAUGGUAGGAGAGCGUUCUAAGGGCGUUGAAGCAUGAUCGUAAGGACAUGUGGAGCGCUUAGAAGUGAGAAUGCCGGUGUGAGUAGCGAAAGACGGGUGAGAAUCCCGUCCACCGAUUGACUAAGGUUUCCAGAGGAAGGCUCGUCCGCUCUGGGUUAGUCGGGUCCUAAGCUGAGGCCGACAGGCGUAGGCGAUGGAUAACAGGUUGAUAUUCCUGUACCACCUAUAAUCGUUUUAAUCGAUGGGGGGACGCAGUAGGAUAGGCGAAGCGUGCGAUUGGAUUGCACGUCUAAGCAGUAAGGCUGAGUAUUAGGCAAAUCCGGUACUC